Molecule: ribosomal RNA, 253 nt
Filed under: uncultured bacterium
Lineage: Bacteria
Description: partial 16S ribosomal RNA
Rfam family: Bacterial small subunit ribosomal RNA
Source: RNAcentral
UACGUAGGGUGCGAGCGUUAAUCGGAAUUACUGGGCGUAAAGGGCGCGUAGGCGGCCUACUAAGUCAGACGUGAAAUCCCCCGGCUUAACCUGGGAACUGCGUCUGAUACUGGAAGGCUUGAGGAUGGGAGAGGGAUGUAGAAUUCCAGGUGUAGCGGUGAAAUGCGUAGAUAUCUGGAGGAAUACCGGUGGCGAAGGCGGCAUCCUGGACCAUUACUGACGCUGAGGCGCGAAAGCCAGGGGAGCAAACGGG